UACGUAGGGUGCAAGCGUUGUCCGGAAUUAUUGGGCGUAAAGAGCUCGUAGGCGGUUUGUUGCGUCGGCUGUGAAAUCCCGAGGCUCAACCUCGGGUCUGCAGUCGAUACGAGCAAACUAGAGUGUUGCAGGGGAGACUGGAAUUCCUGGUGUAGCGGUGAAAUGCGCAGAUAUCAGGAGGAACACCGGUGGCGAAGGCGGCUCACUGGACCGGAACUGACGCUGAGGCGCGAAAGCGUGGGGAGCAAACGGG
RNAcentral lists this ribosomal RNA (253 nucleotides) under uncultured bacterium. RNAcentral describes it as "partial 16S ribosomal RNA". It matches the Rfam family "Bacterial small subunit ribosomal RNA", at positions 524 to 776 of the family's 1533-position model. The record is from RNAcentral.